CCUACGGGUGGCAGCAGUGGGGAAUAUUGCACAAUGGGGGGAACCCUGAUGCAGCAACGCCGCGUGGGUGAAGAAGUACUUCGGUAUGUAAAGCCCUGUCCGCAGGGAAGAAAAUGACGGUACUUGACCAAGAAGCACCGGCUACUUACGUGCCACCAGCCGCGGUCAUACGUAGGGGGCAAGCGUUAUCAGGAUUUACUGGGGGUAGAGGGAGCGUAGACGGCAAGGCAACUAUGGAGUGAAAACCCGUGGCUCAACCCUGGGACUGCUUUUGAAACUGUGUUGCUUGAGUGCAGGAGGGGUAAGCGGAAUUCCUAGUGUAGCGGUGAAAUGCGUAGAUAUUAGGAGGAACACCAGUGGCGAAGGCGGCUUACUGGACUGUAACUGACGUUGAGGCUCGAAGGCGUGGGGAGCAAACAGGAUUAGAUACCCGUGUAGUC
RNAcentral lists this ribosomal RNA (440 nucleotides) under uncultured bacterium. RNAcentral's name for it is "partial 16S ribosomal RNA". It matches the Rfam family "Bacterial small subunit ribosomal RNA", at positions 338 to 795 of the family's 1533-position model. The record is from RNAcentral.